CCUACGGGUGGCUGCAGUGAGGAAUAUUGGUCAAUGGGCGGAAGCCUGAACCAGCCAAGUCGCGUGAGGGAUUAAGGCCCUAUGGGUCGUAAACCUCUUUUGUCAGGGAGCAAUGGCGUCCACGUGUGGGCGUAUGGAGAGUACCUGAAGAAAAAGCAUCGGCUAACUCCGUGCCAGCAGCCGCGGUAAUACGGAGGAUGCGAGCGUUAUCCGGAUUUAUUGGGUUUAAAGGGUGCGUAGGCGGAUUGAUAAGUUAGAGGUGAAAUGUCCGGGCUCAACUCGGGAACUGCCUCUAAUACUGUUGAUCUAGAGAGUAGAUGCGGUAGGCGGAAUGUAUGGUGUAGCGGUGAAAUGCUUAGAGAUCAUACAGAACACCGAUUGCGAAGGCAGCUUACCAAUCUAUAUCUGACGUUGAGGCACGAAAGCGUGGGGAGCAAACAGGAUUAGAUACCCGGGUAGUC
Molecule: ribosomal RNA, 461 nt
Filed under: uncultured bacterium
Lineage: Bacteria
Description: partial 16S ribosomal RNA
Rfam family: Bacterial small subunit ribosomal RNA
Source: RNAcentral